RNAcentral lists this ribosomal RNA (633 nucleotides) under Lulworthiaceae sp. RNAcentral describes it as "SSU rRNA". It matches the Rfam family "Eukaryotic small subunit ribosomal RNA", at positions 618 to 1254 of the family's 1831-position model. The record is from RNAcentral. Lineage: Eukaryota; Fungi; Ascomycota; Sordariomycetes; Lulworthiales; Lulworthiaceae.
GUUAAAAAGCUCGCUAGUUGAACCUNNCNUUUCCGCGCCCGCCGGUCCGCCUCACCGCGNUGCACUGGUGCGGCCGGGGCUUUCUCCUGGGGGUCCGCAUGCCCUUAGCUGGGCGUGCGAGGAACCAGGGCGAUUACUGUGAAAAAAUUAGAGUGUUCAAAGCAGGCCUAUGCUCGGAUACAUUAGCAUGGAAUAAUGGAAUAGGACGCGCAGUUCUAUUUUGUUGGUUAUGGGACCGCCGUAAUGAUUGAUAGGGACAGUCGGGGGCAUCAGUAUUCGGCAGUCAGAGGUGAAAUUCUUGGAUCUGCCGAAGACUAACUACUGCGAAAGCAUUUGCCAAGGAUGUUUUCAUUAAUCAGGAACGAAAGUUAGGGGAUCGAAGACGAUCAGAUACCGUCGUAGUCUUAACCAUAAACUAUGCCGACUAGGGAUCGGACGAUGUUACUUACUGACUCGUUCGGCACCUUGUGAGAAAUCAAAGUCUGUGGGUUCCUGGGGAGGUAUGGUGGCAACGCUGAAACUUAAAGAAAUUGACGGAAGGGCACCACCAGGGGUGGAGCCUGCGGCUUAAUUUGACUCAACNCGGGGAAACUCACCAGGGUCCAGACACAAUAAGGAUUGACNGAUUGAGAG